CUUUCAGCAACGGAUCUCUUGGCUCUGGCAUCGAUGAAGAACGCAGCGAAAUGCGAUACGUAAUGUGAAUUGCAGAACUCAGUGAAUCAUCGAAUCUUUGAACGCACAUUGCGCCCGCUAGUAUUCUAGCAGGCAUGCCUGUUCGAGCGUUAUUU
This 155-nucleotide ribosomal RNA is filed under the name Phyllachora miscanthi. Its description in RNAcentral is "5.8S ribosomal RNA". It matches the Rfam family "5.8S ribosomal RNA". From Rfam's summary of the family: 5.8S ribosomal RNA (5.8S rRNA) is a component of the large subunit of the eukaryotic ribosome. It is transcribed by RNA polymerase I as part of the 45S precursor that also contains 18S and 28S rRNA. Functionally, it is thought that 5.8S rRNA may be involved in ribosome translocation. Lineage: Eukaryota; Fungi; Ascomycota; Sordariomycetes; Phyllachorales; Phyllachoraceae. The record is from RNAcentral.